UUAGAUCAUGUGAGUGGGUAGGCGGAAACUUGAGGCCAUUAAUCCUCAUAGUAGGACCGAGGGACAGGAGCGGUAGAUCUAUCUGGGUCAUAUGGAGGACCCUGUUGAUCCCGAGGUUUGUUACUUAGAUCAUGUGAGUGGGUAGGCGGAAACUUGAGGCCAUUAAUCCUCAUAGUAGGACCGAGGGACAGGAGCGGUAGAUCUAUCUGGGUGUAGCGAGCCCAGCCCCAGGUCCAGCUGAACGGACCUCGGGGUGACUUAGUGCCCGACGCAUAAAUCCGCUAGGUUU
Molecule: long non-coding RNA, 289 nt
Filed under: Helianthus annuus (common sunflower)
Lineage: Eukaryota; Viridiplantae; Streptophyta; Magnoliopsida; Asterales; Asteraceae
Description: sRNA HanXRQr2_Chr04g0163131
Source: RNAcentral